AACGGGUCUUCGGAUGCUGACGAGUGGCGAACGGGUGAGUGAUACAUCGGAACGUGCCCAGUAAUGGGGGAUACCUCGGCGAAGGCCGGAUUAAUACCGCAUACGCCCUGAGGGGGAAAGUGGGGGAUCGCAAGACCUCACGUUAUUGGAGCGGCCGAUGGCUGAUUAGCUAUUUGGUAGGGUAAAGGCCUACCAAGGCCACGAUCACUACCUGGGCUGACAGGACGAUCAGCCACACUGGGACUGAAACACGGCCCAAACUCCUACGGGACGCAGCACUGGGGAAUUUUGGACAAUGGCGGAAACCCUGAUCCAGCAAUGCCGCGUGUGCGAACAAGGCCUUCGGGCUGUAAAGCAAUUUUGUCAGGGAAGAAAUCCUUUGGGCUAAUACCCUACGGGGAUGACGGUACCUGAAGUAAUAAGCACCGGCUAACUACGUGCCAUCUGCCGCGGUAAUACGAAGGCUGCAACGCGUUAAUCGGAAUUACUGGGCGUAAAUCGUGCGCAGGCGGCUGUGUAAGACAGGUGUGAAAUCCCCGGGCUAAACCUGGGGAAUUGCAUUGUGACUGCACGACUAGAGUGUGUCAGAGGGGGGUGGAAUUCCACGUGUAGCAGUGAAAUGCGUAGAUAUGUGGAGGAACACCAAUGGCGAAGGCAGCCCCCUGGGAUAACACUGACGCUCAUGCACGAAAGCGUGGGGAGCAAACAGGAUUAGAUACCUUGGUAGUCCACGCCCUAAACGAUGUCAACUAGUUGUUGGGGAUUUAUUUCCUUGGUAACGUAGCUAACGCGUGAAGUUGACCGCCUGGGGAGUACGGCCGCAAGGUUAAAACUCAAAGGAAUUGACGGGGACCCGCACAAGCGGUGGAUGAUGUGGAUUAAUUCGAUGCAACGCGAAAAACCUUACCUACCCUUGACAUGGCAGGAACUUUCCAGAGAUGGAUUGGUGCUCGAAAGAGAACCUGCACACAGGUGCUGCAUGGCUGUCGUCAGCUCGUGUCGUGAGAUGUUGGGUUAAGUCCCGCAACGAGCGCAACCCUUGUCAUUAGUUGCUACGAAAGGGCACUAUAAUGAGACUGCCGGUGACAAACCGGAGGAAGGUGGGGAUGACGUCAAGUCCUCAUGGCCCUUAUGGGUAGGGCUUCACACGUCAUACAAUGGUCGGUACAGAGGGUUGCCAAGCCGCGAGGUGGAGCCAAUCCCAGAAAACCGAUCGUAGUCCGGAUCGCAGUAUGCAACUCGACUGCGUGAAGUCGGAAUCGCUAGUAAUCGCGGAUCAGAAUGCCGCGGUGAAUACGUUCCCGGGUCUUGUACACACCGCCCGUCACACCAUGGGAGUGGGUUGUACCAGAAGUGAAUAGUCUAACCGCAAGGAGGACGGUCACCACGGUAG
This 1393-nucleotide ribosomal RNA is filed under the name uncultured organism. RNAcentral's name for it is "16S ribosomal RNA". It matches the Rfam family "Bacterial small subunit ribosomal RNA". The record is from RNAcentral.